RNAcentral lists this ribosomal RNA (695 nucleotides) under Rhizopogon salebrosus. RNAcentral's name for it is "eukaryotic LSU rRNA". The stretch from base 168 to 322 matches the Rfam family "5.8S ribosomal RNA". The record is from RNAcentral. Lineage: Eukaryota; Fungi; Basidiomycota; Agaricomycetes; Boletales; Rhizopogonaceae.
UUCUCGUUUUUCUCUCAACUCACCUGUGCACCUAAUGUAGGAUGCCUCUCCUCCGGGAGGGGGGACCUAUGUCUUCGUAACAUCUUCGUGUAGAAAGUCUUUGAAUGUUUACUAUCAUCGAGUCGCGACUUCUAGGAGACGCGAUUCUUUGAGAUAAAAGUUAUUACAACUUUCAGCAACGGAUCUCUUGGCUCUCGCAUCGAUGAAGAACGCAGCGAAAAGCGAUAUGUAAUGUGAAUUGCAGAUCUACAGUGAAUCAUCGAAUCUUUGAACGCACCUUGCGCUCCUCGGUGUUCCGAGGAGCAUGCCUGUUUGAGUGUCAGUAAAUUCUCAACCCCUCUUGAUUAGCUUUGAGAGGGUGCUUGGAUAGUGGAGGUUGCCGGAGACUUGGAUUCGUCCGAGACUCGGGCUCUUCUGAAAUGCAUCGGCUUGCGGUCGACUUUCGACUAUGUGCGACAAGGCUUUCGGCGUGAUAAUGAUCGCCGUUCGCUGAAGCGCAUGACUGAAUGUCCCGUGCCUCUAAUAUGUCGACCGCUUAUUAUCUCUCCGGAGAGAACAGGGUCUUCCUUAUUGACUUUUGACCUCAAAUCAGGUAGGACUACCCGCUGAACUUAAGCAUAUCAAUAAGCGGAGGAAAAGAAACUAACAAGGAUUCCCCUAGUAACUGCGAGUGAAGAGGGAAAAGCUCAAAUUUU